AACGAACGCUGGCGGCAUGCCUAACACAUGCAAGUCGAACGAAGGCUUCGGCCUUAGUGGCGCACGGGUGCGUAACGCGUGGGAAUCUGCCCUUUGCUUCGGAAUAACAGUUAGAAAUGACUGCUAAUACCGGAUGAUGUCGCAAGACCAAAGAUUUAUCGGCAAAGGAUGAGCCCGCGUAGGAUUAGCUUGUUGGUAGGGUAAAGGCCUACCAAGGCGACGAUCCUUAGCUGGUCUGAGAGGAUGAUCAGCCACACUGGGACUAAGACGCGGCCCAGACUCCUACGGGAGGCAGCAGUGGGGGAUAUUGGACAAUGGGCGGAAGCCUGAUCCAGCAAUGCCGCGUGAGUGAUGAAGGCCUUAGGGUUGUAAAGCUCUUUUACCCGGGAUGAUAAUGACGGUACCGGGAGAAUAAGCUCCGGCUAACUCCGUG
Molecule: ribosomal RNA, 433 nt
Filed under: uncultured bacterium
Lineage: Bacteria
Description: partial 16S ribosomal RNA
Rfam family: Bacterial small subunit ribosomal RNA
Source: RNAcentral